This 202-nucleotide unclassified non-coding RNA is filed under the name Hevea brasiliensis (rubber tree). Lineage: Eukaryota; Viridiplantae; Streptophyta; Magnoliopsida; Malpighiales; Euphorbiaceae. The record is from RNAcentral.
AUUCCGAUUGGGGCCAUGUCAGUGAUGCCGUCAAUGUUUAUGACCAGCUCAUUUCUAAGCACCCAGCUGAUUUCCGAGGUUACUUGGCAAAGGGAAUCAUAUUGAAGGAAAAUGGUAAAGUUGGUGAUGCGGAAAGGAUGUUCAUUCAAGCAAGAUUCUUUGCACCGGAACCAGGAAAGGCACUUGUCGAUCGGUAUGCAAG